Homarus americanus (American lobster) is the source of this 1249-nucleotide RNA transcript. RefSeq lists it as uncharacterized. The transcript has 5 exons. Lineage: Eukaryota; Metazoa; Arthropoda; Malacostraca; Decapoda; Nephropidae. The record is from RefSeq and is a predicted model, not a curated record.
UUGGUGUACGUAGCAGGCCCCUCGCGCCUCAGGGAUCUACAGUAUACUGGGGUGGAACUUCACACUCAUACACUAGUGAUAGGAUUACGUGCUUCUUGAUAUUGACGGUGAAGUCACUACCUGGUAAAACUGGUUGAUUUCCCUGGAGAUCUGUCAGCAUCACGUCCUACAAGAGUUCCUCUUCUGGUGUUGGUGAAGGAUGACGCGGGCGCUGGUGACGAUACUGGUGGUGGCCUGCCUGGCGACUUGCUCCUCCGCUACAUCAAAUAAAAGUGACGUGUUGGAGCCAGAGUACAAGAUCAUAUCAGAUGCGAUCAUCGUUGAUUUGUUUAGGAUGGGCACUGCCAUGCUCAUCGUGGUCGGAGGUUGUCUCCUGUUCCGCGAGCUCGCCCUUGGCACCCUUAGCGCACUAGAAACGACAGAGGAGGAAGAGGAGGAUGGUUAUAAAGACAGGAACGACAUCUACAACUUCCACCGACCCAGUUUUUACGAUUAUCACAGACGACGGCCGUAUCCCCGAGCCAUGAUGGGCAGUGUGUCUCUCCUCACGAGGGUUCUCAACAGUAUCGACGCAGAGGAAUUCGGCUCUCGCCAUACUAGGGGUGGAGGACGUAGCCUGUCGGAGACGCACCGUGUGUGAGCUACAGCGAGCCUCCUCCAGGAUGCCCAUCUUAGCUUCCCUCGUCCAGUAUAUGAGUCCGUCCAUCAGUGGUCUAGAGUUCAGAAAGGCACAGGAGGCUGGUGCUGCCCUGGAGGACUGCGCGCGUCUCUUCUACGAUUGUCCGAAAUCCCCAACCUAGUUCUUGGAGGAGAGUAAGUGACCCUCCAUUAAGGAUAGAAAUCGUGUGGGACUUUUCGGUGUCUGAACCUCUACUAUGACCUCGAGAGUUGUUUUUAGUAUAUUUUGUUAGGUUAUAUGAGAACAUUUCUAUAUUCAAAAACAAACUUUGUUUUCUACAUUGAGCGAGCCAUAAAGCACAGUAAAUUACUUCUGAUGUAAAGUUGUGUAGUUUACUAAGAUUUUAUGUUUGUCUUUCUGUAACAGUGAAACUGCUGAAAGUAGCCUUUUAGCUUCCUAUACAUUAGUUACCAAGUCUUUAUCUCUGAAAAUAUAUUAGAGCAGGAUAUUAAACAAUGUAAAUUAAAUUUUUCUUCUGUUUUAUUUAGAUUUUAGUAAUAUUGAGCUUAAUAAAACGUUUUUCUGACUGUGUCAGACAGACUACUCGAAAUAAAACUGAAUUGCUGGUAA